This 466-nucleotide ribosomal RNA is filed under the name uncultured bacterium. Its description in RNAcentral is "partial 16S ribosomal RNA". It matches the Rfam family "Bacterial small subunit ribosomal RNA", at positions 28 to 507 of the family's 1533-position model. The record is from RNAcentral.
GAUGAACGCUGGCGGCGUGCUUAACACAUGCAAGUCGAACGAUGAAGCCCAGCUUGCUGGGUGGAUUAGUGGCGAACGGGUGAGUAACACGUGAGUAACCUGCCCUUAACUCUGGGAUAAGCCUGGGAAACUGGGUCUAAUACCGGAUAGGAGCGCCUACCGCACGGUGGGUGUUGGAAAGAUUUAUCGGUUUUGGAUGGACUCGCGGCCUAUCAGCUUGUUGGUGAGGUAAUGGCUCACCAAGGCGACGACGGGUAGCCGGCCUGAGAGGGUGACCGGCCACACUGGGACUGAGACACGGCCCAGACUCCUACGGGAGGCAGCAGUGGGGAAUAUUGCACAAUGGGCGAAAGCCUGAUGCAGCGACGCCGCGUGAGGGAUGACGGCCUUCGGGUUGUAAACCUCUUUCAGUAGGGAAGAAGCGAAAGUGACGGUACCUGCAGAAGAAGCACCGGCUAACUACGUG